Molecule: ribosomal RNA, 2145 nt
Filed under: Triticum aestivum (bread wheat)
Lineage: Eukaryota; Viridiplantae; Streptophyta; Magnoliopsida; Poales; Poaceae
Description: partial small subunit ribosomal RNA
Source: RNAcentral
AUGGCAAUGCAAGACCAUCCUUCUCCGUGUGGCCACCACCCCCAAAUCCUCUUGGAUAAAAAAUGUUUAGUGGGCGAGUUGAAAAAUUCCACUACCGCAAAAUCCAAGAAUAGCAAAGGGGUUCACUUGGAGGUUUCUUUUGAAGCAGUUGACCCUCCAGCCAUCUCACUGUGCCUGGUCAGCUGCGUUGAUCAGACCGGGGAUCGCUUGACAGCACCGCCUCGUAUACUUGGUGUAACUGGAGGCUUUGUACUGCUGGCUAUCACCUUCUCGGACAGUGUCAACCGUUACUUGCGGUUCAUCGACUAUUUUGUUUACAAAGCAGGGCCCGAUUUCGCCUCUCUUCAUCUUCUUGCAAGGCCAUACCCGUCUUCUUUUUCGCCAAACAUGGCUGCCAUCUUGCCUGUUAGUGAUAACAGUGAAGACUUUGCUGUCAUUUUCCCACAUGUUGAAUAUUUCAGACUUGAGUCUCGCGAACAUUACACACUCCACAUAUAUCGAUCUGACACGAAUGAUUGGCACUCUCAGGUCGCUUGUAUCGCUGAGGAUAAUGAGACAAGGAAUGCCAGGGAUAAGCUAUUGCUUCAUAAUACCAUGAGCGUGGCAUAUGCAGAAAAGGGUAUCAUAGGUUGGAUUGAUCUCUGGUGGGGAAUUCUCUUAUGCAAUGUUUUGGAUAAAAAGCCUACCAUCCGUUUUGUUCCGUUGCCAGUUCCGGAACCGUGUGAUACGUCUGAGUUCCAUUUGAUGUUUGAGAAUCUCACUCCAAGACCACACCGUCAUGUGACGAUAUUCAAUGAUUUGAUCAAGUGUGUUGAGUUAGAUUUUCAUGUGCAAGAUGCUUUCUUCAACAUGAAGCGAGCAAAGGAUUAUGGCUGGAUGGCUAAAACAUGGACUAGAUCAAUUUAUUCAGAUCGUCUCCGUGUGCUGCGGAAGAAGCAGAAUCGCAUCGCGCAGAUGGAGGAGUCCGUCGCUGCCGGCAAGAUGCUUAACCAGGAGCAGAAGGAGCUCAUGCACUCCAAGCCCGUCAUCGCCGCGCUCAUUGACGAGCUUGAGCGCCUCCGCGUACCACUCUCCACUGCUCUCACCAAGGAGCUCUCCACCGUCCCUGCACCUGCUGCCGGUUCCUCAUCCUUUGGCUCCGAUUUGUCCAUCCAGGACCUCCUCGCGCUCAUCUACUUCGGCUCCCUUUUUUAUGUCAAGUCACCGAACGAGUUCAUCGCCACCAUGGUUGCGCGCAAGAACGAACGGAGCAGCUGCAUCACCCACGGCUACGUAUGGGAUGAUACCGUGGACCUGCUCGUGGAGAACGACCUUGACGCAGUAUCUGCUGUGGCGGCCCUUGCCGCGGCUCGCCCUUCUUCCGCAGAUGGUGUCUCCCACCAUGACGCACUCCAGGCCUGUGCCCAUCAUGCCCGCCUAUGGCUAACCCGUGCUGAUGCGCCGAUCCACCCUGGCUCCUCUGUUACAUAUGCUGCGGUGAGGUCCAAGUUAGACAGGAUCAUGGCAUCAGACUACUACACGGCACCUGCAGUUGCUGGGAACCAUGGAGCUGAAGGUCUGCAGGCACAGAUGAGCAUGACCGACUCACCAGAGGCACCAUCACUCAAGGAGACCCUAGCUGCUGAAAAUCACAAGUGCUACCACUAUCUAGUUCGUUGCGCAAGCUUGAUUGUUGAGAUAGAGGACGAGGAAGAUUCCUCGCAUGCCAUAGAAAUCGACAAUGAUCAUCAGUCUAAUGCAGCCGAUGUGCAAAAUGUGGAUGGUAAAACCCUGGUGAACCCUCGUGUGGAAUAUCGCGUGGCUGAGGCAGAGCAGGAGAAAUUUGAUGUGAAAGAACAAGAUCAGAUAACCAGCGAGGUGGUGAUCGUGGCUGGAGGGGGGCCUACCCUAAUGGCCGCAGCGGGCAUGGAGGCGGCCGUGGCAUGGGCAGCAGAUACGAGAAUGGGCGUGGAGGUGGUGGUGGUGGCGGCCGUGGCAUGGGCAAACAGCCGGGGUGGUGGUGGCACCGGUGGGUACCAGAAUAGCCGGGGUGGUGGUGGUGGCGGCGGGUACUACAACAACGACGAUGGGUACUACCAGCCGAGGAACUUGAACAACAGGGGCAGGGGCGCAGGGAGGUGGCCACGCGGACACCGAGAGGAUUGA